UAAGUAGGAUAAAUAAUCGCGGCUGACAGGACCGAAAGGGGUCAGGUGAGGAAAGUCCGGGCUUCACAGGGCAGGAUGCCAGAUAACGUCUGGUGGAGGUGACUCCAAGGAUAGUGCAACAGAAAUGUACCGCCGGAACAAUCCGGUAAGGGUGGAAGGGCAGUGUAAGAGACUACCGCCUUCCUGGUAACAGG
RNAcentral lists this RNase P RNA (194 nucleotides) under Candidatus Blautia pullistercoris. RNAcentral's name for it is "partial RNase P RNA component class A". It matches the Rfam family "Bacterial RNase P class A", at positions 1 to 196 of the family's 367-position model. From Rfam's summary of the family: Ribonuclease P (RNase P) is a ubiquitous endoribonuclease, found in archaea, bacteria and eukarya as well as chloroplasts and mitochondria. Its best characterised activity is the generation of mature 5'-ends of tRNAs by cleaving the 5'-leader elements of precursor-tRNAs. The record is from RNAcentral. Lineage: Bacteria; Bacillati; Bacillota; Clostridia; Lachnospirales; Lachnospiraceae.